This 253-nucleotide ribosomal RNA is filed under the name uncultured bacterium. Its description in RNAcentral is "partial 16S ribosomal RNA". It matches the Rfam family "Bacterial small subunit ribosomal RNA", at positions 524 to 776 of the family's 1533-position model. The record is from RNAcentral.
UACAGAGGUCUCAAGCGUUGUUCGGAUUCAUUGGGCGUAAAGGGUGCGUAGGCGGCGCGGUAAGUCGGGUGUGAAAUCUUGGAGCUUAGCUCCGAAACUGCAUUCGAUACUGCCGUGCUUGAGGACUGGAGAGGAGACUGGAAUUUACGGUGUAGCGGUGAAAUGCGUAGAUAUCGUAAGGAAGACCAGUGGCGAAGGCGGGUCUCUGGACAGUUCCUGACGCUGAGGCACGAAGGUCAGGGGAGCAAACGGG